ACKGCUCAGUAACACGUGGAUAACCUACCCUUGGGACGGGCAUAAACCCGGGAAACUGGGUAUAAUUCCCGAUAGGUCUGGGAGGCUGGAACGCAUUCAGACUGAAAGCUCCGGCACCCAAGGAUGGGUCUGCGGCCUAUCAGGUAGUAGUGGGUGUAACGUACCUACUAGCCUACUACGGGUACGGGUUGUGAGAGCAAGAGCCCGGAGAUGGAUUCUGAGACACGAAUCCAGGCCCUACGGGGUGCAGCAGGCGCGAAAACUUUACAAUGCGGGCAACCGCGAUAAGGGGACCUCGAGUGCCGACAUCAAAUGUCGGCUGUCGUGAUGCCUAAAAAGCAUUACAUAGCAAGGGCCGGGCAAGACCGGUGCCAGCCGCCGCGGUAACACCGGCGGCUCGAGUGGUGACCGCUAUUAUUGGGUUUAAAGGGUCUGUAGCCGGCCGGAUAAGUCUCUUGGGAAAUCUGGCCGCUCAACGGUCAGGCUUUCAGGAGAUACUGUCUGGCUCGAGGCCGGGAGAGGUGAGAGGUACUUCAGGGGUAGGGGUGAAAUCUUGUAAUCCUUGAAGGACCACCAGUGGCGAAGGCGUCUCACCAGAACGGACCUGACGGCAAGGGACGAAAGCUAGGGGCACGAACCGGAUUAGAUACCCGGGUAGUCCUAGCCGUAAACGAUACUCGCUAGGUGUCGGCCACGGUGCGACCGUGGUCGGUGCCGCAGGGAAACCGUGAAGCGAGCCACCUGGGAAGUACGGCCGCAAGGCUGAAACUUAAAGGAAUUGGCGGGGGAGCAC
This 793-nucleotide ribosomal RNA is filed under the name uncultured Methanosarcinales archaeon. RNAcentral describes it as "bacterial SSU rRNA". It matches the Rfam family "Archaeal small subunit ribosomal RNA", at positions 85 to 879 of the family's 1478-position model. The record is from RNAcentral. Lineage: Archaea; Methanobacteriati; Methanobacteriota; Methanomicrobia; Methanosarcinales.